This 314-nucleotide ribosomal RNA is filed under the name Clostridioides difficile. RNAcentral's name for it is "partial 23S ribosomal RNA". It matches the Rfam family "Bacterial large subunit ribosomal RNA", at positions 2223 to 2536 of the family's 2925-position model. Lineage: Bacteria; Bacillati; Bacillota; Clostridia; Peptostreptococcales; Peptostreptococcaceae. The record is from RNAcentral.
AACCAUAGGCCAUGAAUCUGGUCUUGGGACACUGUCAGGUGGGCAGUUUGACUGGGGCGGUCGCCUCCCAAAAGGUAACGGAGGCGCUCAAAGGUUCUCUCAGUACGGUCGGAAAUCGUACGUAGAGUGUAAAGGCAAAAGAGAGCUUGAUUGCAAGACAUACAGGUCGAGCAAGGAUGAAAAUCGGACUUAGUGAUCCGGUGGUUCUGCGUGGAAGGGCCAUCGCUCAACGGAUAAAAGCUACCCUGGGGAUAACAGGCUUAUCUCCCCCAAGAGUCCACAUCGACGGGGAGGUUUGGCACCUCGAUGUCGGC